GAACUGUAGCUCAUUGGCAGAGCGCUUGCCUAGCAUGUGUGAGGCACUGGGUUCAAGUCUCAGCACCA
RNAcentral lists this transfer RNA (68 nucleotides) under Marmota monax (woodchuck). RNAcentral describes it as "tRNA.Ala". Lineage: Eukaryota; Metazoa; Chordata; Mammalia; Rodentia; Sciuridae. The record is from RNAcentral.